Molecule: ribosomal RNA, 727 nt
Filed under: Ameerega bassleri (pleasing poison frog)
Lineage: Eukaryota; Metazoa; Chordata; Amphibia; Anura; Dendrobatidae
Description: partial 12S ribosomal RNA
Rfam family: Bacterial small subunit ribosomal RNA
Source: RNAcentral
GGAGCUGGUAUCAGGCACAACUUUUCCGCCCAUAACACCUAGCCUCGCCACACCCACAAGGGAAUUCAGCAGUGAUAAACAUUGAGCAUAAGCGAUAGCUUGACUCAGUUAAAUUAAACAGAGCCGGCCAAUCUGGUGCCAGCCGCCGCGGUUACACCACUGUGGCUCAAAUUGACUUCUUUCGGCGUAAAGCGUGCUUAAAGCCUAAAAUUUCUUGGAAUUAAACUGAAACUAAGCUGUGACACGCUUGUUACUCAAGAAAACCAAAAACGAAAGUUAUUCCAAUUUUUUCAACUUGAAUUCACGACAACUAGGAAACAAACUGGGAUUAGAUACCCCACUAUGCCUAGUCGUAAACUUUAAUCUACUCCCACAUCGCCCGGGAACUACGAGCUAAGCUUAAAACCCAAAGGACUUGACGGUACCCCAUAUCCCCCUAGAGGAGCCUGUCCUAUAAUCGAUAACCCCCGUUUAACCUCACCAUUUUUUGCCAGUCAGCCUGUAUACCUCCGUCGUCAGCUUACCACGUGAGCGUCAGUGAGCCUAAUGUUUCUCCAACUACACGUCAGGUCAAGGUGCAACAUAUAAAAUGGGAAGAGAUGGGCUACACUUUCUACCAUAGAAUAAACGAAAGACUAAAUGAAACCUAGUCAGAAGGCGGAUUUAGCAGUAAAGUGAAACUAGAGCGUUCACUUAAAUGCGGCACUGGGGUGUGUACACACCGCCC